Molecule: long non-coding RNA, 1010 nt
Filed under: Ananas comosus (pineapple)
Lineage: Eukaryota; Viridiplantae; Streptophyta; Magnoliopsida; Poales; Bromeliaceae
Description: long non-coding RNA (ACOM_LNC031803)
Source: RNAcentral
CGUGGGUACCCGCGGGUUACCCAAAAUGCCCACUACUUAAUGGAUAUCCACCUGUUUUACUCGUAAUUUUUUGGGUUGGAAAAGUUUGUACCCAUACUCGCAAAUUUGUGGGUAACUUGCGGGUAGCUGCAGGUUUGGAUCAAGAUUGUCAGGUCCUGCAUAGUAGCUCUACUAUAUAUAUAUAGAGGAAGAGUUGAGCUAGAAUACUCUCAAAAGCACCAAGAGAAUGGCGCUUUUGGGUUUUUAACCUUUGGGUAGAGAGAUGUAUGGUUGAGAUGAUGGUAGUAGAUGGUGGUAGGUGGAAUAGUGUUUGAUACAAGGACUAUUAGUAAUUAAGAAGUAGAUCCAAGGGCUAAAAACCUAAUAGCACUAAGGGGGUAAUAAUUCUAAAAGUAUUCUAACUCAAUUUUAUAUAUAUAUAUAUAAGUUUUUAUAUUUUUAAAGGUAGCAAAUUAUUUGUACUUAUAAGUUUUCAGCUUUAGAAUUAAAAAAUAUAUGGUUAGGAUGAUGUCAGUCUCUUAGCACCCGUUUGGUUCGGGAUUAAGAAGUGGAAUAAUCCCUUUAACCCCGAAGUUAUUUCCAAAUACCCAAUUUGAGUGGUGGGGUUAGUUAAUCCCACUCCCACCCCACACCAUUACUCCAACCAAACAAAACACUAUUUUAUCCAUUAUUUUUUUUUAUCUCACCUACUCCAACCAAACACUAUUUUAUCUAUAUCUGGACUAAACCCAAUUAUCAACCAAACACAAAAUUACUCUAACCCCAUCUUAACCCUGAACUUAACUCUAUCUCUGGAAUAACAAAUUUUUACUUAACCCUGAACCAAACAGUGGCUUAGGGUUAAGUGGGUGAUUUAUUGAAUAAUAUAAUUUAAUAAGUGUAAAUGAUUAACAGUACAGAUCUAACGGCUAAAAAUUUAUAAGUAUUAAAUACUUGUUGCUUUUAAAAAUAUCAUUGUCAAACUCUCUCUCUCUCUCUCUCUCUCUAUAUAUAUAUAUAUAUAUAUAUAU